UUGAAUAGAUGACUGUUUGCCUAGGACUGCAACCACUCCUGCGGAGGCACCUCAGCCAGGCUUCCCCUACUGCAAAGAAGAGAACAAGCACGGUCAGGUAGCACAUGUCCCAGUUGCUAUGGCAACGGAGGAGGCCUGGUGGAGAGAUUUCCUGUUCCCCCAGUGACCCAGCCACAGACGGCAGGGCUGCCAGCCCAAAGAGUACUGAGGUAGAGGUCUUGGCUAGACCCAGCUGUCCCAACUGGUUCCUCCCCAAGCAACUCCACAGUGAGCAGGGAGGUCGAGCUUGAGCCCAGUGCCAAAGCCACGAGGAUGACGGCGAAGCUUCCGAGCCUCUUAGAAAAAUUAGGAUAAAAAACAACCCACCCACCCCUACCACUUCAAUAGCACAGAUGCAUGACAUUGGUUCAAAGGUGAAGAUUGUAUGAUAAUAUGGAUGGAGAACUUAAACAGAACAAUAGAGAUGUAGCAGUGGGAAUUUCAAUGGAAGAUGGAUUCUGUGAAGAGUAAACAUGAGUGGUCCUGUCAUUUGUCUGCUUUGAUAUGAGUGCAAUGGGUUGCCGCCGCAGGGUUCCCAUGUGAUGCUUCUUCAGGCCCAGAAAGCUGAUCUUGUUCAGGGAUGGGAAGAGUGUCACAUCAGUCUUCACAAGAGAUGGAAUUGGCGAUUCUGCUGACUCAUAAUAGAUC
Hemicordylus capensis (graceful crag lizard) is the source of this 687-nucleotide long non-coding RNA. RefSeq lists it as uncharacterized. The transcript is spliced from 3 exons. The record is from RefSeq and is a predicted model, not a curated record. NCBI's taxonomy places the organism in Eukaryota, Metazoa, Chordata, Lepidosauria, Squamata, Cordylidae.